RNAcentral lists this unclassified non-coding RNA (341 nucleotides) under Melitaea cinxia (Glanville fritillary). Its description in RNAcentral is "misc RNA ENSMCXG00005015477.1". The record is from RNAcentral. Lineage: Eukaryota; Metazoa; Arthropoda; Insecta; Lepidoptera; Nymphalidae.
CGAAGAUGUCAGUAAGAUUUCAAAUAUAAAAUUCCCCUCUUUUGUUCUAAAAGAAUGCCUAAUUAAGUUGUAUAAUGAGAUUAACGAGUCCAUUGUACAAUUAUUUACUUCAUUUACGGGAGGAUCAGGGGCGUAAGGGCGAAAAAUCGAAGCCAUCAACAGCUACGAAUAAAAAACAACACUGAAUGACCGAUGUCACUCUUUCUCUAGUAAAUAUGCGACGUGUAAUAAAAGCAAAGGGGGUGAGAGUAAUGGAACUGAACAGGGUUUCCGCGCAAAUUCAAGCGAGCAUUAGAGGAGAUCACAACACCUACCUUUGAGUAAUCUGCGAAGAGAUUGAA